Molecule: long non-coding RNA, 312 nt
Filed under: Ananas comosus (pineapple)
Lineage: Eukaryota; Viridiplantae; Streptophyta; Magnoliopsida; Poales; Bromeliaceae
Description: long non-coding RNA (ACOM_LNC011570)
Source: RNAcentral
UUUGAGUUUUUUUUUUUGAGAGAGAGAUAGGUAGCACACUAUCCGCUUCGUUUAUUUCAUUUAAAAAUAAACUUAGCUAAAAAUGUGAAUCAAUUAGGAUUCGAACUUAGGACCUCGGGUACCAACCACCAAUCAUCUCGAGUACCGACCGUCUCUAGAGCAAGCGGCACAGGGCUUGAUGGUUGAUACCCGAGAUCCCAAGUUCGAAUCUUAGUUGAUUCAUAUUUUCAACUAAGUUUAUUUCUAAAUGAAAUAAACAAAGCGGGUAGCGUGCUACCUAUCUCUCAAAACAAAAAAAAAAGACUUUUCUUU